Cyprinus carpio carpio is the source of this 366-nucleotide long non-coding RNA. NCBI's taxonomy places the organism in Eukaryota, Metazoa, Chordata, Actinopteri, Cypriniformes, Cyprinidae. The record is from Ensembl.
UGAAUAUUUCAGUAUUUAGAUUACCUGCAGCAGCAUUGCUGAAGAUUUGUCGGAGCACCUCGGACAGGAGUGUAACGGGGAAAAAAGCAGCUGUAUGGCACCCAUUCACUGCAGAGGAUCCAUUGGUGAAGAAGUGAUGUAAUGCUACAUUUCUCCUACAAAUCUGUUCUGAUGAUGAAAUAACUCAUCUACAUCUAGGAUCACCUGAGGAUGGAGUUUGUCUUGGAUUGAGGAGUCGACCAUCAGAAAAUCAACGAACCGUACUGCUAACUAUAAUGGAGGGCGCCGUUACUCUGUAGGAUCAGAAGGAACCGGUUUCCCUCUCAUUUCACUUUCUCCUUUGCAUUUCGGUUGACCUGUGCACCA